UAAAACCUUCAGACUGUCCUGAAGUAGCCAUCAGUACACGCAUUUAGUGAAGAAUUCAAAACUGCGUCUUUGUGUCUUCAUUUAUUAAUGCAUUUGCACCAUUUUGUGCCUUUGUGAGCUUAACUGUGCAAACUACUCGCAUUAGAUGGCUAGCUCCAACUCAUGGGAAAGACAUCAUCAUCUUCAACUCACAAAUUGAGGUUGUUGGAUUUGAUAACUCAAAUGGUUGCGUCGAAAACAGGAUUGAGCGUGUUCACACUAAAAACUCAAUCAAGAAAGUUUUUUCAAUCUAAAUUAUUUAUAAAAAUCGUACUAAUUGACCACCGUUUAAUAAUUAAAGCAUUGGAGAAAACUGAGGAAAAGAAACGUUGCGAAAACAGGUUGCUGAGUCUAAAGCGAUCAGGUGGAUAUUUGCACUUCUCGAAGUAUCAAAUCAAUAUAGGAUUUACAAAUGUAUGUGAUUUUUGCCUGUUUACUACAAUCAGAAGGUAUGAAUUUGCCGUUAUGAAAUACCUGCCUGUCAACGAGCUGCGUUCAUACGUGUUAACAUUGAAUGAACACGGAACUAUUUACUGAAAAUAUUGAAAAUAUCUUAAAGGUUCCUUUUACGAUACACGAUAUAAAGCAGAACGACACCCUAGUGCAAAUAAACGCUGGUCUACCAUCGGCGGAAAGUUUUUUUACUCUGGCAAAUAUGUUGUCAAAGGAGGAAAUGAAAUUGCUCAUAGCUGGGUCGUCGGGCAACUGACGUUGAUGAAGUUGAAAAUUGGAGCGACGGACAUUCAUCUAUCGCAAAGAUUUAUAUGUUCGCUGGAAACUGUAGAGAAUACAGUUCUGACAUGGUUAUUCGCACUGGAAGAUAAACUGAUGAGAGUGAUAAUCGAUAUGUUCGACACUCGAAGAAGUCAGCCGGCCCGAAAGUCCUUUGUUUCUACACGCCAUCAGUGUUAGAACGAAACCUCCAAAAAACCAUCAUAUCCAGCAUUCCCCACCGGUGGAAACAUUGAACGCUGUGCUUCUAUCAUCAGUUGACGGUUUGGUGAUGUACACAACUGAUUUGUAAGGUGGAUCACGUCCAGAACACAUAUCGUUAAUGAAUGUGAGGGCCUUGAAUGGGUGUCUCCUGGUGGUGUAAUAGCCACAGACCGCGAUUUACUCAUCGGUCUGGUGGAUGUCCACGGCGAAGAGGCUUUGUCGGUCGACUUUAGCCCUAGUCGUGUGAGGUUGGCACGGGAGGAUGUGGAGAAGAGGCUGAUGAACUUCUUCAUUUUGAGAGAUGUUCCAGCAAAUCUAAUGGACUACGCGUCUACCGUACUAGAAGUGGCCGUAUUGCUUAUGAAUUAUGGGCACUUAACACCUUCAUGAAAGCAUAAAACCACGUGCCGAUUAAUUGUGUAAGACAUGUUGGCAAUCGUCAUCUUGUAAAUGACUGAAGUUCGUAGGAGAUACGACGCACCACGGUGUAUAA
Cimex lectularius (bed bug) is the source of this 1468-nucleotide long non-coding RNA. RefSeq lists it as uncharacterized. The record is from RefSeq and is a predicted model, not a curated record. NCBI's taxonomy places the organism in Eukaryota, Metazoa, Arthropoda, Insecta, Hemiptera, Cimicidae. The transcript is spliced from 5 exons.